AACAAAAUAAGCUAAGAGGUAAGCUAUUGGGUUCAUACCCCAAAAAUGAAUUUUUUCUUUUGUUA
Molecule: transfer RNA, 65 nt
Filed under: Lineus viridis
Lineage: Eukaryota; Metazoa; Nemertea; Pilidiophora; Heteronemertea; Lineidae
Description: tRNA-Met
Rfam family: tRNA
About the family: Transfer RNA (tRNA) molecules are approximately 80 nucleotides in length.
Source: RNAcentral